UGGGGAAUUUUGGGACAAUGGGGGAAACCCUGAUCCAGCCAUCCCGCGUGUGCGAUGAAGGCCUUCGGGUUGUAAAGCACUUUUGGCAGGAAAGAAACGUCGCGGGUUAAUACCCCGCGAAACUGACGGUACCUGCAGAAUAAGCACCGGCUAACUACGUGCCAGCAGCCGCGGUAAUACGUAGGGUGCAAGCGUUAAUCGGAAUUACUGGGCGUAAAGCGUGCGCAGGCGGUUCGGAAAGAAAGUGUGAAUCCAGAGCUUAACUUUGGAACUGCAUUUUUAACUACCGGGCUAGGAGUGUGUCAGAGGGAGGUGGAAUUCCGCGUGUAGCAGUGAAAUGCGUAGAUAUGCGGAGGAACACCGAUGGCGAAGGCAGCCUCCUGGGAUAACACUGACGCUCAUGCACGAAAGCGUGGGGAGCAAACAGGAUUAGAUNCCCGUGGUAGUCCACGCCCUAAAACGAUGCCAA
RNAcentral lists this ribosomal RNA (469 nucleotides) under uncultured bacterium. RNAcentral's name for it is "partial 16S ribosomal RNA". It matches the Rfam family "Bacterial small subunit ribosomal RNA", at positions 355 to 815 of the family's 1533-position model. The record is from RNAcentral.